This 369-nucleotide ribosomal RNA is filed under the name uncultured Pelotomaculum sp. Its description in RNAcentral is "bacterial SSU rRNA". It matches the Rfam family "Bacterial small subunit ribosomal RNA", at positions 1016 to 1382 of the family's 1533-position model. Lineage: Bacteria; Bacillati; Bacillota; Clostridia; Eubacteriales; Desulfotomaculaceae. The record is from RNAcentral.
ACCCUCGGGUGACAGGGAGACAGGUGGUGCAUGGUUGUCGUCAGCUCGUGUCGUGAGAUGUUGGGUUAAGUCCCGCAACGAGCGCAACCCCACGUUUAGUUGCUAACAGGUGAAGCUGAGCACUCUAGACGAACUGCCGUUGACAAAACGGAGGAAGGUGGGGACGACGUCAAAUCAUCAUGCCCUUUAUGUCCUGGGCUACACACGUACUACAAUGGCCGUUACAACGGGAAGCGAAGGAGCAAUCCGGAGCAAAUCCCUUAAAGGCGGUCCCAGUUCAGAUUGUGGGCUGAAACUCGCCCACAUGAAGGCGGAAUUGCUAGUAAUUGCAGAUCAGCAUGCUGCCAGUCGAAUACGUUCCCGGGCCUU